This 782-nucleotide ribosomal RNA is filed under the name uncultured bacterium. RNAcentral describes it as "bacterial SSU rRNA". It matches the Rfam family "Bacterial small subunit ribosomal RNA", at positions 28 to 810 of the family's 1533-position model. The record is from RNAcentral.
GAGGACCUCUGGCGGCGUGCUUAACACAUGCAAGUCGAGCGAAGCGAUUUAAGUGAAGUUUUCGGAUGGAUCUUAAAUUGACUGAGCGGCGGACGGGUGAGUAACGCGUGGAUAACCUGCCUCACACGGGGGGAUAACAGUUAGAAAUGACUGCUAAUACCGCAUAAGCGCACGGUACCGCAUGGUACAGUGUGAAAAACUCCGGUGGUGUGAGAUGGAUCCGCGUCUGAUUAGGUAGUUGGUGAGGUAACGGCCCACCAAGCCGACGAUCAGUAGCCGACCUGAGAGGGUGACCGGCCACAUUGGGACUGAGACACGGCCCAAACUCCUACGGGAGGCAGCAGUGGGGAAUAUUGCACAAUGGGCGAAAGCCUGAUGCAGCAACGCCGCGUGAGUGAAGAAGUAUCUCGGUAUGUAAAGCUCUAUCAGCAGGGAAGAAAAUGACGGUACCUGACUAAGAAGCCCCGGCUAACUACGUGCCAGCAGCCGCGGUAAUACGUAGGGGGCAAGCGUUAUCCGGAUUUACUGGGUGUAAAGGGAGCGCAGACGGCACUGCAAGUCUGAAGUGAAAGCCCGGGGCUCAACCCCGGGACUGCUUUGGAAACUGUAGAGCUAGAGUGCUGGAGAGGCAAGCGGAAUUCCUAGUGUAGCGGUGAAAUACGUAGAUAUUAGGAAGAACACCAGUGGCGAAGGCGGCUUGCUGGACAGUAACUGACGUUCAGGCUCGAAAGCGUGGGGAGCAAACAGGAUUAGAUACCCUGGUAGUCCACGCCGUAAACGAU